RNAcentral lists this ribosomal RNA (515 nucleotides) under uncultured bacterium. RNAcentral describes it as "bacterial SSU rRNA". It matches the Rfam family "Bacterial small subunit ribosomal RNA", at positions 21 to 518 of the family's 1533-position model. The record is from RNAcentral.
GGCUCAGGAUGAACGCUGGCGGCGUGCUUAACACAUGCAAGUCGAACGAAGCACCUCUAAUCGAAGAUUGAGAAAGCUUGCUUUGAUUGAUUCACCUUGAGGUGACUGAGUGGCGGACGGGUGAGUAACGCGUGGGUAACCUACCCUAUACAGGGGGAUAACAGUUGGAAACGACUGCUAAUACCGCAUAAGCGCACGGGACCGCAUGGUCUAGUGUGAAAAACUCCGGUGGUAUAGGAUGGACCCGCGUCUGAUUAGCUAGUUGGUGAGGUAACGGCUCACCAAGGCGACGAUCAGUAGCCGACCUGAGAGGGUGACCGGCCACAUUGGGACUGAGACACGGCUUAAACUCCCACGGGAGGCAGCAGUGGGGAAUAUUGCACAAUGGGCGAAAGCCUGAUGCAGCGACGCCGCGUGAACGAAGAAGUAUUUCGGUAUGUAAAGUUCUAUCAGCAGGGAAGAAAAAUGACGGUACCUGACUAAGAAGCUCCGGCUAAAUACGUGCCAGCCGCCGC